UACGUAGGGUGCUAGCGUUGUUCGGAAUCAUUGGGCGUAAAGCGCAUGUAGGUGGUUAAGUAAGUCGGAUGUGAAAUCCCCCGGCUCAACCAAGGAAGUGCAUUCGAAACUACUUAGCUAGAGGACGGUAGAGGAAGGUGGAAUUCCUAGUGUAGAGGUGAAAUUCGUAGAUAUUAGGAGGAAUACCGGUGGCGAAGGCGGCCUUCUGGGCCGGUUCUGACACUGAGACGCGAAAGCGUGGGUAGCAAACAGG
RNAcentral lists this ribosomal RNA (253 nucleotides) under uncultured bacterium. RNAcentral describes it as "partial 16S ribosomal RNA". It matches the Rfam family "Bacterial small subunit ribosomal RNA", at positions 524 to 776 of the family's 1533-position model. The record is from RNAcentral.